UACGGAGGGAGCUAGCGUUGUUCGGAAUUACUGGGCGUAAGGCGCACGUAGGCGGCUUUGUAAGUUAGAGGUGAAAGCCCGGGGCUCAACCCCGGAAUUGCCUUUAAGACUGCAUAGCUUGAAUCCAGGAGAGGUGAGUGGAAUUCCGAGUGUAGAGGUGAAAUUCGUAGAUAUUCGGAAGAACACCAGUGGCGAAGGCGGCUCACUGGACUGGUAUUGACGCUGAGGUGCGAAAGCGUGGGGAGCAAACAGG
RNAcentral lists this ribosomal RNA (253 nucleotides) under uncultured bacterium. RNAcentral describes it as "partial 16S ribosomal RNA". It matches the Rfam family "Bacterial small subunit ribosomal RNA", at positions 524 to 776 of the family's 1533-position model. The record is from RNAcentral.